GCCCCUUUCCGUAGGUGAACCUGCGGAGGGAUCAUUA
Molecule: ribosomal RNA, 37 nt
Filed under: Pestalotiopsis microspora
Lineage: Eukaryota; Fungi; Ascomycota; Sordariomycetes; Amphisphaeriales; Sporocadaceae
Description: partial 18S ribosomal RNA
Source: RNAcentral